Molecule: ribosomal RNA, 402 nt
Filed under: Triticum aestivum (bread wheat)
Lineage: Eukaryota; Viridiplantae; Streptophyta; Magnoliopsida; Poales; Poaceae
Description: partial small subunit ribosomal RNA
Source: RNAcentral
AUGUCAACGACAACAAUGAUGCCGCCACCAUCUCCUAUUCCGCGCAGCUUCACUUUCACCGCCCCUCGCCGGCCCAGAUUCCCUUCGCCGGACCAGCUUCCUCUCCUCCGGCGCGACGUCCUUCGCGCCCUUGCACGCGCCCCCACGGUAAUCUUAGGCGCCCUCGGGUCGUCGGCGCUCCUGCGCCUCCGGUUUGUCGGUCCACUAACCCCGCGUCUUCGAAUGCGCGGCUGCGGGCUCGCGCUCCAUGACACUACUCCGCCUCGGCGACCUCUACUCCGACGUCUAUGGUUCAGUAGGCUGCCAUGGUUGCCUACAGCUUACCCGACAACUCACCAAGACUCAUCUCCCCCAAGAAGGUUUACAGAAAAUAUCAAAGAUUCAAAGAUACAAAGCGCCUAG